AAGGAUUCCCUAGUAACUGCGAGUGAAGCGGGAAAAGCUCAAAUUUAAAAUCUGGCGGCUUUUGGCUGUCCGAGUUGUAGUCUGGAGAAGUGCUUUCCGCGCUGGACCGUGUAUAAGUCUCUUGGAACAGAGCGUCAUAGAGGGUGAGAAUCCCGUCUUUGACACGGACUACCAGUGCUUUGUGAUGCGCUCUCAAAGAGUCGAGUUGUUUGGGAAUGCAGCUCAAAAUGGGUGGUGAAUUCCAUCUAAAGCUAAAUAUUGGCGAGAGACCGAUAGCGAACAAGUACCGUGAGGGAAAGAUGAAAAGCACUUUGGAAAGAGAGUUAAACAGUACGUGAAAUUGCUGAAAGGGAAACGCUUGAAGUCAGUCGCGUCGUCCGGAACUCAGCCUUGCUUUUGCUUGGUGCACUUUCCGGAUGACGGGUCAGCAUCGAUUUCGACCGUCGGAAAAGGGCUGGAGUAAUGUGGCACCUCCGGGUGUGUUAUAGACUCUGGUCGCAUACGGCGGUUGGGAUCGAGGAACGCAGCGCGCCGCAAGGCAGGGGUUCGCCCACUUUCGCGCUUAGGAUGCUGG
Molecule: ribosomal RNA, 574 nt
Filed under: Ganoderma sp. SP11
Lineage: Eukaryota; Fungi; Basidiomycota; Agaricomycetes; Polyporales; Polyporaceae
Description: eukaryotic LSU rRNA
Rfam family: Eukaryotic large subunit ribosomal RNA
Source: RNAcentral